This 61-nucleotide microRNA precursor is filed under the name Saccoglossus kowalevskii. RNAcentral describes it as "Sko-Mir-4828-P4_pre stem-loop". Lineage: Eukaryota; Metazoa; Hemichordata; Enteropneusta; Harrimaniidae. The record is from RNAcentral.
CAGUCUCAAUGUGUAUUUUCAUCUGUACUCUGUUAAUACAGUAAAUACCAUUGAGAUUGCA